RNAcentral lists this small RNA (1535 nucleotides) under Cryptococcus neoformans H99. Its description in RNAcentral is "Cryptococcus neoformans var. grubii H99 hypothetical RNA". Lineage: Eukaryota; Fungi; Basidiomycota; Tremellomycetes; Tremellales; Cryptococcaceae. The record is from RNAcentral.
GUUUCCUGUACUAACUUCAACUACAACUACAACAUCUUAAUAUAGCCAUGAGAACCGAACCGUAUACUGCAACCGGUGCAAGAAAACUAAUAAAGCUGAUAUACAGUACAAACAAGGCUGUACAAAACUACUUCCUUGUCCUCUUUCUCUUCGCUUUAUGCUGGUUCUGAUCCAUCUUCCGCUUCACGCUAGCCACCAAAGAAUCCAAAUCCUGCUCUUUCUGCUCAACAUUCUUAACACCGGUUGCAGACUUGCGUCCUUCAGGCUCAGUUUGCUUUUGAUUGUUACGGCGACGGGUCCGCUCCGCAAGGAGGUCCUGCAUAGCCUUUGUCUUGACGAAGCUUUUUCCAAGGUCAAUAGCAAACUCUGGCUCUUCAUGCAAAGCCUUGAAUCGAUCAUCUUUAACAUCAAUCUUCCAGUCAUUGGGACCAAGUUCGACAUCUCUUUCUUGCUCUCCCUUCUUGCUCUUUCUCCUUCUCCGCUUCUUACCAGCCUCCUUCUCGGCUUUGAUGAUAUCUUUCAUAGAGAAGUUUGAGUCAGGUUCGUUGGUACCGGCGACAGCAGCAAGAUCGUCCUCAUCUGCAAGGGUGGGUUCAAGAGAUCUAGGCUUAGACUUGGGCUUGGGUUGUUGCUCCUCUUCCUCUUCUGAAGAAUCGCUGCCGAAAAACUCGUCUUGGCCGUCUGUAUUCUCCUCAUCGCCCCUUUCUCUGGCCGCAGCCUUCAAUUCCAUCUUCUCCUUCUUUCUCUGCUUCUUCUCUUUCAUUCUCAACUGGUAUCUCUCUAAGGAAGUCAUAUUCUCCUCAUCAUCAUUCCCUUUGGCAACGGAAAGACCAGGACGGAAAGUGAUCUCGAGGUCUUCUCCCUUCUUGGCCUUCUUGGAGGCAGAGUUGUCCUUGUCCUUAAGAGCGGCAGAUUUAAUAUUCUCCAGCUCAUUCGCCCACGCUGUUCCAGCUUUGCCCCAAACAUCGGUGACACCAUCCUCAUCAUCUCCGCCAGCGAGAAGAAGAUUUCUAAGCUUUUCCUUUCUCUCCUUCAUCUUCUUCUUCUUGUCCUUCUUGCUCUUGCCUCCCGCACCUUCUUCAUCGUCGAAGUCGGACUCUUCAGCUUCACUUCCAGAGGCUGCAACAAGAUUUUGGAAAUCCUGCUCUUCAAUUUCUUCUCGAGUAAGAGUCCGUCGAGUCAUCUUAAUUCGGUUGGGAUCGUCUUGGUCCCAAGUAAGCUUGACUUUAGAGUGUCGAAGAGCCUGAGAUCAUAUCCUGUCAGCGUUUCAUUAUACUUUUCACGCAGAUAUUGGCAUUUACGUCGGUAACAAAAUCAUUACCCUUGUAGGCCUUAGGCUCCUUAUCGGCUUCAUCCCUGUAAGAAUUCGGCCAUGUCCUCGGGCACAUAACUCAAAUCCAAUAUAUUGGCUGUCUGCUCAAACUCGGUACCAUUGCACUCGUUCAUGAUAUAUUCGGCUGCAGCAACACUGGAGAAAGUGGCGAUGGCGUAGUAAUAUCUAUUUAGACAGAUCAGGAUGGAACUCUAUAGUGACA